GAUGAACGCUGGCGGCGUGCCUAAUACAUGCAAGUCGAGCGAACAGACGAGGAGCUUGCUCCUCUGACGUUAGCGGCGGACGGGUGAGUAACACGUGGAUAACCUACCUAUAAGACUGGGAUAACUUCGGGAAACCGGAGCUAAUACCGGAUAAUAUAUUGAACCGCAUGGUUCAAUAGUGAAAGACGGUUUUGCUGUCACUUAUAGAUGGAUCCGCGCCGCAUUAGCUAGUUGGUAAGGUAACGGCUUACCAAGGCAACGAUGCGUAGCCGACCUGAGAGGGUGAUAGGCCACACUGGAACUGAGACACGGUCCAGACUCCUACGGGAGGCAGCAGUAGGGAAUCUUCCGCAAUGGGCGAAAGCUUGACGGAGCAACGCCGCGUGAGUGAUGAAGGUCUUCGGAUCGUAAAACUCUGUUAUUAGGGAAGAACAAAUGUGUAAGUAACUAUGCACGUCUUGACGGUACCUAAUCAGAGAGCCACGGCUAACUACGUG
RNAcentral lists this ribosomal RNA (497 nucleotides) under uncultured bacterium. RNAcentral's name for it is "partial 16S ribosomal RNA". It matches the Rfam family "Bacterial small subunit ribosomal RNA", at positions 28 to 507 of the family's 1533-position model. The record is from RNAcentral.